Molecule: ribosomal RNA, 254 nt
Filed under: uncultured bacterium
Lineage: Bacteria
Description: partial 16S ribosomal RNA
Rfam family: Bacterial small subunit ribosomal RNA
Source: RNAcentral
UACGGGGGGAGCAAGCGUUGUUCGGAUUUACUGGGCGUAAAGGGCGCGUAGGCGGCCACGACAAGUCACUUGUGAAAUCUCCGGGCUUAACUCGGAAAGGUCAAGUGAUACUGUCGGGCUAGAGUGCAGAAGGGGCAACUGGAAUUCUCGGUGUAGCGGUGAAAUGCGUAGAUAUCGAGAGGAACACCUGCGGCGAAGGCGGGUUGCUGGGCCGACACUGACGCUGAUGCGCGAAAGCCAGGGGAGCGAACGGG